Molecule: RNA transcript, 11770 nt
Organism: Corythoichthys intestinalis (scribbled pipefish)
Lineage: Eukaryota; Metazoa; Chordata; Actinopteri; Syngnathiformes; Syngnathidae
Exons: 2
Source: RefSeq, a predicted model, not a curated record
GAAAAAUAAAGCUAAAAUGAAAAAAAUAGGAAAUUAAAUGAUCGAAAAUUACAUUAAAAAUAUUCUUCAUCAAAAUAAGUAUGAAAAAAAUACUAAUUAUAAAAAAUAAAUUGAAAAAUACAGCUAAAAUAAAAAUGAAAAAAUGAGACAUUAAAUGAUCGAAAAUGUAAUUAAAAAUUAAAAAUACAUUGAACUUCUACCAAUGAUAAACUCAUUUAAAUUUGUCAAUAAAAUGCUCCAAAUUGCAAAUUUUGAUUUGACACACUCACUCACCAACUUUGACGGCGUGGCUGAUGAGCUCUUGCAUCUUGAACUGCUCAAAAACAGAAAAAAAAAUGUAGUUUUGUAGUUAAGAGUUCAUAAGAUCUGCCACAAACGAUUAUUUCGAUAGUCGACUUUUUUAUAAAUCAACAUUUUUACUGUUAUAUUACUCUAUAAACUGGAACUUUGCAUUGGAACAAGAGUCGAUAAAAAAUUUGAGGCUUGAAAAAAAGAGGUUUUGGUCCAUUUUUAGGACAACAAUAUCUCUUAACGAUUAUUCGACUGCUAAAAUAGUUGUCCAAUAAUUUGAUAAUCAAUUAGAAAAAGUAGUCAGUUUUUAGUUUUUUAUUAAAAAAAAAUUUUUUUUUAAUUAAUUAUUAUAAGAAUUUGAGCAAGGUGAUUAAUCGACUAUCAAAAUAGUAAAAUAAUCUGACAGUCAAUUAGUUCUCUAUUAAUCGUGGCAGCCCUAGUACUUAUACGUACUGUACAUGCUAUUAACUCACUGUUAAAGACUUACUGAGGAAAAAUGGUUCAAAGGGGCGAUUUUAAGCGGCAGAAAAACAUGACAUGAAGGUGUACCUGAAGACUCCUAGCUUGCUCCAGGUUUCCGCUCUCGAACUCUGACAGCAGCUUCUUCAUGUGACUUCCCAGAUAGUUGUACGUGCUUGCGGAAAGACGGGAAAAACAUAUGUUCAUGCCAAAUUGCAAAUCACAGAUCUAAUAAAUUCUAUUAAAUAAAUACGAAACUGACCUGCCAACCGCUCCGUGGGCUCCCAACGCAAGAGCCGCUAACAGUUGCUACGUGACAGUAAAAGUGAAGGUGAAGAAAGUGUUAAGCGGAAGUGGGGAAGUAGGUCGCGGUCGCGCGGCUGACCUCGUCCACGCCAUACAGGACGGACCAGUGAGGCUGGGUAUGGUUGAUACACUGGCCAAAAUCCAUCAGGUCGCUGCCAGAGAAUUUGACCCCUCGGAAAGAGGGAAUGAGCGUCUCUAUUCCUUCCAGCAAGUCACUUGCUGGCACUGAGAAAAAGACAGUAUGAAAGAAAGUAUGAAAGGAGUUAUCGUGAAAGUUAUUUUCAUUUUCUGACCUCUGCGAUCUUUGACCUCACCACUCCAAAAUUUAAUCACCACUUUCGUUUCAUACCACAAACAUAUCCUGCAGAUUUUAAAGGUGGAGUAAAAUAAAGUGCUUUAAAUUUCAUGAUAAUCUCUGUUAUUGAGCUAUCGCAAAAUUCCCUGUGACCUUUUGACCUCAGCACCCCAAAAUGUAAUCACCUAUUCCAUUUAUAAUUCCUUUAUUUGUACAUGAGCUAUCGUGAAAUUCCUCUUUUGACCUCAGUGACCUUUGACCUCAUUACUCAACAAUUGUAAUCACCUGUUCCUUUUAAUUUUACAUACAUAUCCUGCUUAUUUGAUCAUAAUCCCUUCAUACAUUGUUGAGUUAUCGCAAAAUUCCUUCUCAGACCGCCGUGACCUUUUGACAUCAUCACUCCAAAAUUUAAUCACAUCUUCCUUUUUAUAUUCUAUACAUGUCCAGCAUAUUUGAUCAUGAUCCCUUCAUACAUUCUUGAGUUAUCGUAUAAUUCCUUUUCUGACCUCUGACCUUUGACCUCAUCACCCCAAAAUUAUUCAUAUCUUUUGUUUCAUAUAUUAUUAUUUCAUACACACAUAUAUAUAUAUAUAUUUAUCCAUUCCUGAGCGAUUGCGAAAUUCCUCUUUUGACCUCUGUGACCUUUGUACUUUUCACCCCAAAAUUGAAGAACCUUUUUUUUUUACCCGGUGGCUGGACUGAGUAAAAAAAAAGACCAAAAAUAUAAAAAAAUACCAAUGUAAACUAUAUGUAUACAAAUAAUUAGAAAAAAAUAACAAUACGAUCAUUGUAUAAAAAAAUGAUAAAAAAUAUGAUUCAAAUAAUUUCAAGAAAUUCAAAAAGUGUUGAAGUGUACAGAGUACUAAGAGUACUGAACAUCUUUUUUUUAAAAAAAUAAGUCUUACCAAACAGAGCUUGAAUAAAGCAACCACUAACCAUUAACGCCAGUAAGACCUGGAAGGUGGUAGUAAUAGAAAGGCACUGUGGGGGCUGCGGUAGCCACAUUCUGAAGGUACGCCCUCAGCGACUCUGAAACCCAAACCAACAAACACCUCCAUGAAUUUCUCGUUCCACACAGGAACAAUCUUCCCCUCGAUUUUACCUGCCGAGCGAGGUUUGAAGAAGGACGGCGAAAUGACCGCUAUCCCGUCUGCUCCAAUCUCCACAGCAUGGCGAGCCUGAACAUGAACACGGUUACCAUUAAGAAGUUCAAUUACAACCAGUAAUAAAAAUGAAAUUUUAACAAUGAAUGUUAUAGAGUGCUCAUUUAAAUACUAAGGAAUUAUUAACAAAAACAAAACAAAAAAACGUUAGCGUACUAUUGGAGGCCAUAACCAGAUUUGAUUUCUCAUUGUAAAAAUUAAUAGAUCCAGAAAUGCCCAAAAAUCAACAGGAAGUGGCCCAAAGUGAACAGGAAAUGAAGCAGUUUUUGCUCAAAUCAACAGACAGUGAAAUGGAAUCGAACAUAAAUCAACAGGGAGUGACUUGAAAUAAACAAGUUGCGACCCAGGAAUGCUCCAAAAUAAAAUAAAAAAAAAAAAUCUAGUUAAAGCCCAAAGACCAACAGGAAGUGACCAAAAAUGAACAGAAAGUGACGCUGUAUUGCCCCAAAAUCAACAAAGUGACCUAAAAUCAAAAGUAAGUCACCCUGUGUUGACCAAAAAUCAACGAAGUGACUUAAAAAUCAACUUAGAAGUAACCUGAACUGGAACCUAAAUAAACAGAAAGUGACCUGAUAUUAACAGGUUCUGACCCAGAAAUGCUCCAAAAUAAAAAAGAAGUGACACUGCAUUGACCAAAAAUCAACGAAGUGACCCGAAAUCAACACGAAGUAACCUGGAAUUGAACCUAAACCAACAGGAAUUCACCCAGCAAUGCCCCAAAAUCAACAGGAAGUCACCCAAAAUAAACAGGAGCUGACGCAGUAUUGACCCAAAAAUCAACGAUGUGACCUAAAAUCAACAGGAAGUGACCCAGGAAUGCUCCAAAAUAAAAAAGAAGUUGAAUUAAAGCCGAAAAAUCAACAGUGACCUAAAAUUAACAGAUUGUGACCCAGAAAUGCUCCAAAAUCAAAAGAAAGUCCAAUGAAAGCCCAAAAAUCAACAGGAAGUUACCCAAAAUAAAAAGGAAGUGACACGAUAUUGACCCAAAAUCAACAAAGAGACCCAAAAUCAACAGGAAGUAACCUGAAAUUGAACCUAAAUCAACAGGAAGUGACCUGUGGGAGUUUACAGACCAGCAGAGCAAAGCAUUCCUACACAAUUUCUCCACAAAUUGCAUUUUAUUGCUAUUUUAAUCUGUAUUAACAUGUUAUUAAUUCACAAAUGUAUUCAUUUAUGGGGAAAAAAAUGAAUUGAGAAUUAAAAAAAACAACAACAACAAAAUUAUAAUAUCUAAUCAUCUUAAAGUUUUUUUCCCAACACAAUAAAGGGUUAAAGCGCCUGUGACAGCAUUAAAAAAAAAAUCUUAAAUAGCAUUAUUAUUUGAACUAGAAUCAUAUUUUGAGACGAUUCGACUAUUUACAACAAUUUGGCAAAGCGCAUAUAACAAGAAAUUAGUCUUUUAAUCUGCUGUUUUGCCCCUUCCCGUCAUUUUAGCGCUCUAUCAUCCCCAGCUGGUGGAAUGGCCAUGACAAAUAACAGUCUUGUGCUAAAUAGACUAUGAAAUAUUAAAAAUGCAUUUAUUCAGUACGACAUUGCAAAAUUACUCCAAAAUGGUCAAAACUGUCAACUUCUUGCACCUCCGAAAGAUAUUUCACGCCAAGGAGUUAGUCCAGCUUUUGUCAUUUCCCUGCCCCGGCUUCGGAGAGCGUAAACAAACCAAAAGACGUGACAGCUAGCCGACAUGCUAACCCAAACCAAGCGGUGUUUCCGAGUCUGAUUCUCGCCUUUCGAAGCGAAAAAUCACAAAACUAUCCUGGAUCAUUUCAUAUGGCGGCGGGGUCGUCGAAUGUGUUCACGAAUCGGCAACCCCCCCGGCGGCGAGCAAGUUACAGCUCUUCGUUUCCCUGCUGCGCGCAGGAGAGCUCGUUUACCGGGGAAGCAGCUGGAGAAUGACCGCCGGACAAACCGGCCGACGUCGGAGGAGCGCGUAGCUGUCCGAGCCCAACCUGAGGAUAGUGGUCUAUUGCCAGCACACGAAGAGGGCCGAGUGGGCUAAAAGUCUGGACGAUAUGGAGAACUGCACGAGCAUAAGCAAAGUAUAGCGCUAUCCCGGUGGGCACGCGAAGAGGACCGAGGGGGGUGUGCGACAGGUCACCGGUCGUCGGCCGAGUGGAAUUCUCAGUGGACAAGGAGCACAAAAUGCAAGUCACCUCUGUAUUAAAACGUGUGCCAUGAUCCCAGUAUUUGACAUAAUACAAAACAAUAUAUUUACUCACUUCCUCGUAUGUCCAAUGGUCCAACAUUUGUCUGACUUUUUUGGCCAAUCUCGGGGUGAAGGGGAACUUUUUGAAACCCACAAAGGCUCACACACCUUUCCUUGGUGCAGCAACAAAACCCUGCAGCACAUCUGGCUGGCUUGAUGCGAAAAAUAAAUGAGUUAAUCAGCAAAAUCAGCUGAAUCCGCAUGCUAUAAAGCAGUGCUGUAUUGUGAGAUGCUGACCCGGGUGACGUCACAUUCGCAUUCAUCCUCAACCCGAGACUGGAGCCGGAAGUCACUCAUUUUCAUGGCGCGGAAUUCAAAAUAUUGAACAAAUAAAACGAUCGCUUCCACACAUAUCCGAGCGGUCCGUUUCAUUCAGGAGCAUAAAAUACCGCGUAAAAUAUGAAAUAAACAUGCUUUUUUUGCUGUCAUAGGCACUUUAAACUUGUUAAUAAAAAGGAACCAACCAGUUCUUGUGAUUCUUUAAGACUCGUGCAGCCAACAUGAAUAAUCACCUGCUCCAUUCUGUAUGAAAACAGUAAAACAGUAGUUUUACAUUUUACUCAUUCACUGCCAUUGACGGCGAUACACGUCCAAUUCUUUUGUACCGGGAGUGUUGAACGUUCGUAAAUGCCAUCAAUGGACAGGGGCGGUUCUAGAACAAUAUUUAUGGGUUGGCGAGAGGCAGACGGGAACUUUUGAGGGUGGCAAAUAUUUCACAAUGGUAAAAUACCGUAUUGGCCCGAAUAUAAGACGGCCCUGAUUAUAAGACGACCCCCUCUUUUUCAAGACUCAAAUUUGAAAAAAAGACUUUUUCAACACCCAAUUAAUUUGUAUACAGGAAAUAAUUACAGUACAUCCGAAACAAAUGAUUAUAACAAUAUAUUUGAGAGAAAAAGCAUGUUAUUUUGCCUCAUUCAAAUCUUAAUAUCUGAACAUUUAAAUAUGUAAACUAAAGUGCAAUCACAAUCAUAAAUGAAUGGCUUCUGGUUUUUGAAAUGUAAAUAAACCAAUCUAUUGUGAUAAAACAACAAAAUUGCAAUAACUGCAUUAACCAUCAAAGUGAAGUCUAACUAACUGUAGUCUUGAAACAAAUCUGAAUAAGGAAAAACUUUGCAAUAAAAUAAUGCAAACUCAUUAAACUUUAGAGUAGCUGAGAUCUAUCAUGACAGAACAUUGCUUCAUUGAUAUCUGGCGCCAUCUAGCGUCGUGAAUGGGGAGAGAAGCUGAGAUCUGUCAUGCCAGAACAUUACACACUAAUUAUCUUCUACUUAACCCUAAAAAGACAGAAGUCCUUAUAAUAGGCCCAAAAAGUGUAAGAGACUCUUUGACUGCCAAGAUAGUCACCCUGGACAAUGUAAGUGUAUCCUCCAGCACCGCAGUUAAAAACCUAGGAGUUCUAUUUGACCCAGACUUGUCAUUUAAAGCUCAUAUUAAACAAACCUGCAGAACAGCCUUCUUUCACCUUCGCAACAUAGCCAAAAUUAGAAAUAUUUUGUCUAAAAACGAUGCAGAAAAUUUAAUUCAAGCGUUCGUUACAUCUAGAUUGGAUUACUGUAACUCCCUACUUGCAGCUUGUCCUAAAAGUUCUCUAAAAGGUCUUGAGCUAGUCCAGAACGCAGCAGCAAGACUUUUAACAGGAACUAAUAGAAGAAAGCACAUCACCCCUGUGCUCCAGGCCCUUCACUGGCUUCCGAAUUAAAUUUAAAAUCCUCCUUCUUACAUUUAAGACCAUAAAUGGUUUGGGGCCAUCUUAUCUCACCGAUGCUCUGGUUCCAUACCGCCCCAACAGAACACUCCGUUCUCAGAAUGCAGGUCUACUGGUAGUUCCCAGGGUUUCUAAAAGUACAGUAGGCGCUAGAGCCUUUUGCUGCCGAGCUCAUGUCCUAUGGAAUAAGCUUCUAGCUAAUAUUAAAGAAGCCGACACAGUCUGUACAUUUAAGAUUAGACUAAAAACGUUCCUAUUCGACAAAGCUUAUGGUCAGGCUAGUUGAAAUCAGACUAGACUCAGGGCAGUCUAAGCUGCACUAGAAGCUAUAAUGCUGGGGGAAGUACAGCCACUGAGUCCUAUCUCCUUUUUCUCACUCUACCUACCACUUGUCUUGCUUUAUUUCUUUUUUCUAAUUUUAAUAUCUAGUUGACUAGUCUCUUCAUCACUAGUCACCUGGUGUCCCCUUUCAGCCGCAGCCUCCUGACUAUCCGGAGCCCUGGUUGGAUGGACGUCCUUGUCCCCCCCCAUCUCAUCUGGCUAGAUGGACCUCCUCUUGUUUCCUCACUCUAUUGCAUUUCUAGAAACUGUAACUCCGUCUGCUAAUUCCCAUUAGCAAUCCUGAUGCAUCUUGUCUAUCCGUCCAGGGAGUGGAUAUCUCCUGACUGUGGUUCUCCCCAAGGUUUCUCAUUUUUUCCCCCAAAAGUUUUUGGAGUUAUUCCUUGCCGACAUGGAGGGUCUAAGGAUGAGGGAUGCCCAGGACUUGGACUAGAACUUUAUUUAAUUCAUCUACUGUUUUUGACUAUGUAUCAUAUUGCCUCUGCAAAGCCCUUUGAGACAACUUUGUUGUGAUAUAGGGCUAUAAAAAUAAAACUGAAAUGAAUUGAACAUCGCUUCAAUGAUAUCUGGCGCCAUCUAGUGUCGUGAAUGGGUAUAAUGUCUAGACCACGAAGAUAAAGGGACAAAUUCUGCAGCAGGAUGAUGCUCCAUCGCAUACUUCAAUCUCUACCUCGAAGUUCCUAAAGGCAAAGAAGAUCAAGAUUCUCCAGGACUGGCUAGAUCAGUCACCAGACAUGAACAUCAUUGACCAUGUCUGGGGUAGGAUGAAAGAGGAAGCAUGGAAGACGAAACCCAAGAAUGUUGAUGAACUCUUGAAGGCAUGCAAGACUGCUUUCUUUGAUGUUCCUGAUGACUUCAUCAAUAAAUUGUAUGAAUUCUUGCCGAAGCCCACGGAAGUCAUACAAAAUAUUACAUUUGGAUCUCACAGCACCACUACUUAAUUCGCUUAUGUUAUGUAACAUAUUUUUGUAUUUGAAGUACAUUUUUUGUUCAAUUUUCACACUACUUUCUGUAGGCGACAAAACUUUUGUCUUGCCAAAAUUUGACCUUUAUUUCUUCAUUAAAGGGUAUGACAACACCUGGGGAAAUGCUAAAAUUCUAUCAUUUAUCCAUCAACGCAUGCCUUUUGAAUUCAUAUCAUGCCACUUCGUGUAAUUACACACAUCGCAACACCAAGAAAAUGAUAGAAAUUAGGUCGAUUGUCAAGCUAAAAGGACCCGCCCCAGAGAUGCCGGAAAUCUAGCAUAUUGUGUGCGCGACGUCACUUUCGGGAAACAGCCGGCUCAGUGCUUAGUACUGAAUGGCGGCGAUGAUGGCGGACAAUUUUGGUUCUAUUUGCAGCGACGAAUCUGACGUAACGAACAUUCUUCUAAUGGUGACGAGGAGAGUUAUGAACCUUUCUUUGGUGUUUUGGGUUAUCAAUUUGAGCCCAAACGAAAGCCAAUGCAGCCUAAUGAAAGGAUCAUUGAGGGGAGCAAUCACACUGAUGAAACCCCGACAACAGUUCGUGUGGGGAAACACCAAAUGGUAUGUUUUGCAUUUCUUUUUGUGAAGCUGAUACACCGUGACCGCAAAAUAAAGUAUAGAAUAAUUAUCAUUUAAUAUGCUAUCAUCGGUUUCGCUCUGCCAACUGACACAAAUAUGAAUGGGAUUAGAGCAGGAGUCCCCAACCUUUUUUGCACCACGGACCGGUGUGAUUUGGGUCUUUUUUUCAUGGACCGGUGUCCCUCUUUUAUAUUCAGUUGGACUCUCAAUGUUAUCCAAUGGUGCUAAAAAACUAUUUACAUCACAAACAUACAUGUGCAACUCGGAAAUGGCGUAAAUUAACGCUUAACGACACGGCGAAGUCGUUAAGUGAGAGGGCUACGUGCAGUUGUGUGCGCCAAACAUGGCAAACGUAAGUUAAUAUUCCUUUCUUUAAAGAAAGUUUGUAGUGUGUACUUAGGAAUCGCUGCAUUCGCGGUCCUUUUUAACGUUACGCGCAUGCCAACUUCAUCAGAAAACUGGCAAUGUGCGGCAGAAAAAUACAGCAAAUAUAAAAUAGCAUUUGUUUUUAGCCCCGUCGUGUUAAGUGCAGGGAAAAAUUACAACUCACCCGCUGAAUCAGUGGGAGGGCUGAGUUUGUUUCGUUGAGACGAGAUGGUCCCGAGAUGGGAGAGUGAGCGAAGCUAGCAUCACAAAUACACGAUGUUGGAAAUUGUAGCACAGUUUUCAGCGCACUCCUAGCGAUGUCGGGAUAUUCCGAAAUGACUUUAAUCCAGAACUUCGGUAGAGUUGUUGUCUCAAAUGUACGUUUAAAUCGCCGGAUUUAUUCACAUACGGGUCACAAAUUCACUCCUUCGCAGUUCGUGGGUCUUUAGUGAUUGGGAAGUAGCAUAAAUUUUGUUUUAUUUGAGGUUGUAGGCACAUCUUCUGGCUCGUCAGGUUCCCGUUUCCCUGUAAAAUUGCAAAAUUAGCCCUCUUAGCACUGACGAACUUUACUCAUUGUCUGCGUAGUCCAGCUCUUUUUCUCGCGUUCGGGAACUCAUGGGUACUACAAUGCGACAAAUGGCUAUUUGUAAACCACAUAGCAUGACAGGUUUGAACCAUUUUAGCGAUUUUUUGAUAAAACACGAACGCAACUCUCUCGUCGAUAAACAACGAUGGCACCUGCCUCGACCUUUUGUUUCCUUGUUAUGACGUCUCCGCCCCAUUCGGCUGUUUCCGGAACACUUUCGGAAAUGUUCGUCAUUUUCGAUCUAUUUUCCAUAAUUGCUCAUUAAUGUGAUUGAUUUUUUUGUUAACUUUAUCAAUAUUUGUUAUCUUGGCACAUAACGGUUCUAUUGAUGUCUCACACCCCCUUUGCGUUUUCAUACCCUUUAAAUGAUAAAUCUUUUUUCAGUGAAACAAAUAUAUUUUUGUACAUUCAACAUCAUUUGGGAGGGUCUUAGCUUUCAUCUGAGCCAUUUCUGAAACCAAUUGAAUAAUCAAAAGUCAGGCUAUUCGCAAUUCUUUCUACAAAAUGGAUAAACGACAAGACUUUUGUCAGGGACUGUAAAUAUUCCAUGAUUAAGUGAGGACAGCUGCGUUUUAACCCUUUGAUGUUUAGCUCGACAAUUUGGUAGAUCACAUUUUGUGUCCCUAUAUUUAUGGUAUAAUGUGUUGAACUGAACUCAACCUGAUUGUGUCCUCUCUACAACUUGGUUGAGAUAUGCUGUGCAUAAAAAAUCCACUAGAGGCCACUGUAUUUUUCGUUGGUAUGAGUUUUCACUCAUCCUUCUGCUAGCAAGGUUUCAACAGAAAAAUCACUCCUGACAUGUGGGCAACUUUUGGCUACAAUAUGACAGAACAUGGAAUUUUCUGGCCUUUAUACCAGAAGAUCCUCAAGACUCUGAGGCUGAUCUGAGUGAUGAUGACACAGUAGGGGAUCCUGAUUUUCUGCUCAAAUAAGUAGAGUUGAUCGGGGAUCUUUGCACUCAAUCUUCAGAUGAAGAGUUGCCCUCUAAAAGCACAUCUGCAAAGAGGAAAAAUACCCUAGAAACAUUCAAAGAAGAGGUGGAUGAGGCUCCCUUUUCAACCCCGGUGUCAAAGAAGAAGAAAACGUCAGAAAAGAAACAAAAAGAAGCCAGGAGGAUCUAGAAGCAUGUAGAUAUUGAGGAAUUCCAGGUCCCUGAUUCAUGUUUUGCAUCCCCAGAUCCUGUCAAGACACUCUUCCAGUACUUCAAAAUGCUCUUCACUGAUGGGAUGAUUCAACAUAUUGCUUUUCAAACCAACCUGUACUCUGCCCAGAAGUUGGGGGAUCCCAUCAAACACAAACCUAGUGAGAUUGAAGAUUUCCUGGGUAUGCUAUUUUUCAUGGGUAUUCUUCAAUUUCCGACCAUAGCAGACUACCGGUGCCCUGCAUCACGUUUUGACGUGAUUGCUGACAUCAUGCCAAAGAGGAGAUUCAUGCUGUUACGUGGCAUUGAUCCUUCCGACAUGCUAGUUCACCUAUACAAGACCCCAGCCAAGUCAACCCGUUGGUACUUCCCCCUGUUUGGAUACGCCCUAGAUCUCUGCAUCUUCAAUUCCUGGCUGGUCUACAAGAGAGACUGUGGCCUUCCGAAGGAAAAACCAAUUCCUCUGAAAAUGUUUCGCUUGGCUGUGUCCCACACUUUGAAACAAGUCAACAAGCCAGCAUCCAGAGUAGGCCGACCACCGUCUGCCAGUCCACCAAAUAUGUCCUGUGAGAAGAAGCGCUUGCCCCCAACAACCCCACAACCAGAUGUGCGCUACGACAACUAUGGACAUUGGCCACUUCACACUGACAAUCGGGGGCGGUGCAGCCUCUGCCCAAAAGGUGUGUCAAGAUGGAAAUGCGGGAAGUGCAAUGUUUUCUGUACUUGUUGGGUGAGAGAGAAUGUUUUGUAGCAUAUCAUCAAAAAUAAAGUGGCCAAUGUUUCCAUGGGUCAUUAUUGUGUUAAGGCAUUUUGUUUGAGAGAUGUUUAGUUUUUGAUUUUUUUCAAAGCAAGAACAUUAUUAAGUUCUUUGGGUACACUCGUGGGUCUUUCAAUGUUGAUUUGACUGUGGGAAAUGGCUAAGAAAUGCCUAAGACUCCAUGUUGUGUUUAUGCCAAAAUGGACCAAAGGUCUUUUGUUGAAAUAAAAUUUGACAUGAGUUGUUUCCUGGUAUUUCUACAUUUUAUAGUUCCUUUUUUCAUAUUUCUAGGUGUUAAAUGAUCCAUUUAUUUGUCAAUACUCAUUCACAAUUAUGUAUUAGGUAAUUUUACCAUCGAGCAACAUCUCAACCAUUUGGUAGAGACCUAUAUUUAAAAAACUGGGGAGUCCAUAUACAUUUUUCCAAUUUAUUUCUGUUACUUGUGCCACAACAACUUAAAAAAUACCCAAAAAUAAUUUUUUCAUUGUUUUUUUCUUGGAGUGAACAUCAAAGGGUUAAAGUCCAGUGCGGCUUAUCUAUGAGCAAAUGCCUAAAUUUGGUGGGUGGCGUCUUAUAGUCUGACAAUUACGGUAUUUUCAUGAGAAAACAUUAUU